RNAcentral lists this transfer RNA (84 nucleotides) under Candidatus Erginobacter occultus. RNAcentral's name for it is "tRNA-Leu". It matches the Rfam family "tRNA". Rfam says of the family: Transfer RNA (tRNA) molecules are approximately 80 nucleotides in length. The record is from RNAcentral. Lineage: Bacteria; Pseudomonadati; Candidatus Auribacterota; Candidatus Erginobacteria; Candidatus Erginobacterales; Candidatus Erginobacteraceae.
GCCGGAGUGGUGAAACUGGCAGACACGCGGGACUCAAAAUCCCGUUCUCGCAAGAGAGUGAGGGUUCGAAUCCCUCCUCCGGCA